Small nuclear RNA from Mustela putorius furo (domestic ferret), 107 nucleotides. NCBI's taxonomy places the organism in Eukaryota, Metazoa, Chordata, Mammalia, Carnivora, Mustelidae. The record is from Ensembl.
GUGCUCACUUCUGCAGCACAUAUGCUAAAAUUGGAAUGAUACACAGAAGAUCAGCAUGGCUCCUGAGAGUGGAUGACAUGCAAAUUUGUGAAUCAUUCCAUAUUUAC